RNAcentral lists this ribosomal RNA (305 nucleotides) under uncultured bacterium. Its description in RNAcentral is "bacterial SSU rRNA". It matches the Rfam family "Bacterial small subunit ribosomal RNA", at positions 334 to 636 of the family's 1533-position model. The record is from RNAcentral.
UGCUCCUACGGGAGGCAGCAGUGAGGAAUAUUGGUCAAUGGGCGCAAGCCUGAACCAGCCAAGUCGCGUGAGGGAAGACGGCCCUACGGGUUGUAAACCUCUUUUGCCGGGGAGCAAGCCUGAGCACGUGUGCCCAGGCGGAGAGUACCCGGAGAAAAAGCAUCGGCUAACUCCGUGCCAGCAGCCGCGGUAAUACGGAGGAUGCGAGCGUUAUCCGGAUUUAUUGGGUUUAAAGGGUGCGUAGGCGGAGUGUCAAGUCAGCGGUAAAAUUUCGGGGCUCAACCCCGUCGUGCCGUUGAAACUGA